This 497-nucleotide ribosomal RNA is filed under the name uncultured bacterium. Its description in RNAcentral is "bacterial SSU rRNA". It matches the Rfam family "Bacterial small subunit ribosomal RNA", at positions 28 to 526 of the family's 1533-position model. The record is from RNAcentral.
AAUGAACGUUGGCGGCGUGGAUUAGGCAUGCAAGUCGUGGGAGAACCCGCAAGGGGGACACCGGCGAACGGGGUAGGAUCACCUCGGUGACGUACCCUCAGGACGGGGAUAGCGGCGGGAAACUGCCGGUAAUACCCGAUGACCUGGCGAGACUUUAAGGCUCGUCAGCAAAGGUGUGAUUCCGCCUGAGGACCGGCUGAGGCGCUAUUAGCUAGUUGGUGAGGUCACGGCUCACCAAGGCGACGAUGGCUAGGGGGUGUGAGAGCAUGGCCCCCACCACUGGCACUGAGACACUGGCCAGACACCUACGGGUGGCUGCAGUCGAGAAUCUUCGGCAAUGGACGCAAGUCUGACCGAGCGACGCCGCGUGCGGGAUGAAGGUCUUCGGAUUGUAAACCGCUGUCGGGAGGGAUGAAGUGCCGGAAAGCUAUCUUUCCGGUUUGACAGAGCUCCAGAGGAAGCACGGGCUAAGUUCGUGCCAGCAGCCGCGGUAACAC